CCUGAACCUGCAGCAGCUCCAGUUUAGUCUCAAGCAUCUUAUUCUGCUGCUCCAGGAAACGCACCUGUGGAGGGAGUGAAUAAUGUCUUCCUUGGAUAAAACAAAGAGAAGAAGCUGAACCAUUCCAGCAGAUAAGCAGCACAACAUCAACACCUGACUGGGCUCCAGUCAGGUUGAACUCUUGCUGGUAGUUGAAAGACUUGGCUGAUCCGGGGAUGAUGGCGUCCAGCAUGGUCUGUCCGUACACCACGAUCCUGUUUGCAAGAAAAUACAUCACUAUCUUUUAAAAACUACAAAGUACUUAAACAACACAAAAAUCUACUCGGAUGAUAAUGCUAAUAUCAAUCAGCUCAAGAUCCUAACAAUUUUUAACAUAAACAAAUACCAAACUUGUGUUUUUAUUUUUAAAAUUUUGUAUCAGCCUGCUUCACUUCCCUUGUAAAGCCACGACUAAUAAUACAAGACAUGCCAAAUGUUUACACCUCCCAAUAUUCUAUACUGGGCACUGUCAAUUCUCUAUUAGAUACAGGGGGGCUCAGCUGUGGAACAGUUAUAUUCAAAUUGCAUUUCAGUCUACUUCUCUCAAGAAUUUCAAAACAAGCUCAGGACCUGUCUGAUGAACCAAACUUAACCAUUCGAACUGAUCAUAUCUGAUUAUAAUUGGCCUUUUUCUCACACAUUACACCAAAACACACACACACACCCUCAUUACAUUAUUUUAUCUGUUUUGUGUCUUUGCUUGGUUUUUU
Molecule: long non-coding RNA, 749 nt
Organism: Thunnus maccoyii (southern bluefin tuna)
Lineage: Eukaryota; Metazoa; Chordata; Actinopteri; Scombriformes; Scombridae
Exons: 3
Source: RefSeq, a predicted model, not a curated record